UACAGAGGUCUCAAGCGUUGUCCGGAUUCAUUGGGCGUAAAGGGUGCGUAGGUGGCGGGGUAAGUCAGGUGUGAAAUUUCGGAGCUUAACUCCGAAACUGCAUUUGAUACUGCCUUGCUUGAGGACUGGAGAGGAGACUGGAAUUCAUGGUGUAGCAGUGAAAUGCGUAGAGAUCAUGAGGAAGACCAGUGGCGAAGGCGGGUCUCUGGACAGUUCCUGACACUGAGACACGAAGGCCAGGGGAGCAAACGGG
RNAcentral lists this ribosomal RNA (253 nucleotides) under uncultured bacterium. RNAcentral's name for it is "partial 16S ribosomal RNA". It matches the Rfam family "Bacterial small subunit ribosomal RNA", at positions 524 to 776 of the family's 1533-position model. The record is from RNAcentral.